This 467-nucleotide ribosomal RNA is filed under the name uncultured bacterium. RNAcentral describes it as "partial 16S ribosomal RNA". It matches the Rfam family "Bacterial small subunit ribosomal RNA", at positions 339 to 795 of the family's 1533-position model. The record is from RNAcentral.
CUACGGGAGGCUCCAGUGGGGAAUAUUGGACAAUGGGGGAAACCCUGAUCCAGCAAUGCCGCGUGUGUGAAGAAGGCCUGCGGGUUGUAAAGCACUUUCGGUUGGGAGGACUGCUUCUAGCACUAAUAUUGUUGGAAGUUGACGUUACCUUCAGAAGAAGCACCGGCUAACUCCGUGCCAGCAGCCGCGGUGGAAUACGGAGGGUGCAAGCGUUAAUCGGAAUUACUGGGCGUAAAGCGCGCGUAGGCGGCUAGAUCAGUCGGGUGUGAAAGCCCCGGGCUUAACCUGGGAACUGCAUCCGAUACUGUCUAGCUUGAGUACAGGAGAGGAGAGUGGAAUUCCACAUGUAGCGGUGAAAUGCGUAGAUAUGUGGAGGAACACCAAUGGCGAAGGCAGCUCUCUGGCCUGAUACUGACGCUGAGGUGCGAAAGCGUGGGGAGCAAACAGGAUUAGAUACCCCAGUAGUC